RNAcentral lists this long non-coding RNA (6702 nucleotides) under Olea europaea subsp. europaea. The record is from RNAcentral. Lineage: Eukaryota; Viridiplantae; Streptophyta; Magnoliopsida; Lamiales; Oleaceae.
CUCGUAGGUAAGGAUGGCAAAAAACAUGUUAUAUCCGAUACCCGUGGGCUCGGUUCCCAUUGGGACAGGGAUUACUCGAUAACUGGGUAAAUUUGGCGGAAAUAGGAUGGGGUCAUUGUCCCAAAACAAAUAUGGAAAAUAUAGUCCUCCUGCUACCUUCCCGUUUAAAGUUAACUUCAAAUUUAAGUUUUUUAUCAAACAAAAAUAAAAGAUUUAUCAUCAUUUUUAAAGAGAAUAUAAGUUGUUCUUAACAAAUUGAAAAAAAAAGGUAAUAAUAUUUACUAAUUGAAGACAUAAAAAAUAGAAGCAAAAAUUAAAAUAAAUAAAAAUAAAAAAUGAAAAAAAAGGUGUUUCAUUUCUUCCUCGUUGUCAUCCCUACUCGUAGGUUUCAAGGUUGGCCCUAUUAAAGUGCUCAUGUCUUUUCUUUCGAGGCGAAUGAUGUUCUUUGCAAAGGGUUUGCUCUUUCGUGCAAAGACAUUCUCCAUGAUAUUUGAUGUAUCCAUGGGAGGGGUUCGUCUCGUAGGUUUCAAGGUUGACCCCAAAAGGGUGCUUUAUACUUUUCAUUUCAAGGCGGAUGAUAUUCUUUGCAAGGGAGUGACUCUUCCUUGCAAAGAAUUCCUCCAUGAUGUUUGAUAUAUUCAUUGAAAGGAUUCAAACAGGAAUGAGUUCACAGAUGUAAAAAGUAUCUUCAUUGAUGGAAUAAUUGCAUAAGCUAGGGAAACUCAUCCAACUAGAUAGAUGUGUCGUGCUUGCUGGUAGUAAUUCGUAAAUGUUCAACAUUCUAGGGAUAGGAUUGUGCAUUUCCAUCUCAAUACUAUAAGUGUCGGGCCUUAGCUCCUCUAAGAUACGAUAGGGGGCCCAAUUAGGGCAUAAUAUCCCUACAUUUGGUUCUUUAGAAGACAAGAAAAUCCUUCUUAAUACAAGAUCUCCCCUUCAAAAUAACUUCUUCUUCAACCUUGAGUUGUAGUAUCGAGUCAUUUUCCGUUGAUAAGAAGCGAGCUUCAUUUGGAAAUCAUCUCUCCUUUCUUCAAGGAAGUCUAGUUCACAUCUCCCUAACUCGUUCUUAAAUAUCUUAUUAAAAUGCAAGGGAGGGUCAUAGCCUUAGCUCUAUAUUCCAUAGAAAAUGGGGUAUCUCCUAUUGCAAUUCAUCUUGUUAUCUGAAUUGCCCAUAGUGCUUAGAGAGCUCAUCCACGGGUCCCUUUUGACCCACGAGCUUUUUUUUUUUUUCAAGGUGUGCUUGGUGGUUUUGUUAACUGUUUCCACUUGAUCAUUUACUUGAGGAUUAUAGGGUGAUGAGAAAUGUUUUUGGAUUCUAACUCUUCAUAUAAAUCCCUGAUCUUCUUAUUGUUAUUCGGUACAAGCGAACUGAAAAUCUCAAACCAAUAGAUAAUGUUCUUCUAGGUAAAUUUGGAAGAGCUGGCUCGAAACUAUAGUUAGUUCUUAAGAGGGCUGCCUCUAAAUUGUGGAGAAAUGUUGACUUUUAUCGUAUUUUCUCAAGAACCAAAGUACAUAUUUCUUAAGAGUUGGCCAAUAAUACACUUAUCUUAAUACUUUGUAAACAAGUUCUAGCCCUCCUGUAUGGUCGCUACAAACUCCUUCGUUAAUUUCGCUAAGGAUACAAUUAGCUUUUUCUCCACCAGUACAUUGAAGACGAGGCUAAGAGAAUUCUUUCUUAUACAACACUUGAUCUUGGAGGACAAAGCCCUUUUUUUGAAUUUGUGGGCCUCUUCUUUGUUAUCUAGUAGGACUUGAUCUUUGAGAAAGGCAAUAAUUGACAGCAUCCAAAUUGGGGUUCCUUCAAUCCACAUGACUUCUCCCCCUUUGGAGAUAAAAGGCCUGGCGAGGUGUUCAAUGAAGACUACCUCGAGCAGCUUUGAAUCUUUGCUGCUGGCUAAUUUUGGUAAGGCAUUGUCGUGAACAUUUGCAAUACGUGGGAUUUAAGCCAACUCAUAUUUUUCAAAAGAUGGGAAAAUAUCCAUAACUCGCUUGAGGUAUGUUAUCGUACUCUUGUCUCUUGUAUUGAAGUUGUAAUUUACUUAGCUUACCACCAAUUGUGAAUCACUAUUAACCACCAACCUCUUCACUUGUAUCUCCAUAAAGAAUUUGAAGCUAGGUAAUAACGUCUUGUAUUCAGUUGUAUUAUUGGAUGCUUUGAAUCUAAAUCUUACUACACAAUUAUGUUUGUGCCUUUCAUUGCUAAAAAUACCACUCUAGCCCCUACACCUAUUUUUCUUGAGAAACCAUCAACACACAAAUUCAUGUGGGGAUUUUUACUGGUUCCAUUGUCACCUUUAUGUCCAGAGCAUGCUAUGAAAAUCGCAAGUGCUUGUUCCUAAACAGAAGCUCUUGGCUUCUAAACAAUAUCAAAUUUACUAAACUCCAUAGCCCAUUUCAUCAAUCUUCCUGAAACAUUGGAUUUUUGAAGCACCUACUUGAGUGGAAAAUUGGUCAAUAGUUAUAUGCUAUGGGCCUGGAAAUACGGCCUCAACUUUCUUGAAGUGAUAAUCAAUUAGAGGACAAGCUUUUCCAUGUCAGUGUAGCAAGUUUCUACUAAGAAAAGGGACUUGCUCACAUAAUAAAUAGGCAACUGUAAGCUUUCUCCUUCUCUUAUAAAUACACAACUUACAGCCUUUACAGAAACAACCAAAUACAACAAUGGUUAUCCUUUUUUAGGCUUUGAGUGGAUGGAGCCCGUGUUAAAUGCUUCUCCGGCUCUUGAAAAGCUUCUUUACAAUCCUUGUUCUAUCAGAACCUUUUUCCUCUUUUAAUAACUUUGAAAAAUGGAAAGCAUAUAUCGGUUGCCUUCAAAACGAAUUGGCUCGAGGCUAUCAAUCGACAUGUGAGACUUUACAUUUUCUUAGGUUUAUUAGGGAAACUCAUAUCCAUCAAAGUUUUGUUCAUUUCAAGGAUAGCCUCUAUAACUUUUUGUUUAACCAUAUAGCCUAGGAAUUUCCCAGAGAUAAUACCAAAGGCAAAUUUGAGGAGAUUCAAUCUCAUUCUAUAUCUCGCUAAUAUUUGAAAAAUAGCUUCGAGGUGCUUAACAUGAUCCAUAGUCUUGAGGCUCUUCACCAGCAUGUCAUUCAUAUAAGCUUCCAUAGUUUUACCAAUGAGGUCAACAAACAUUUUGUUGGCAAGUAUUUGAUACGUUUCCGUGGCAUUCUUCAUGCCAAAUGACAUCACCUUGUAGCAAUAAAGACCUUAUUGUGAUGAAUGAGUAUUUUCUUCAUCUGCAGGGUGCAUAAGCAUCUAAUUAUAUCCUGAAUAGGCAACCAUAAAACUUAAUAGCUCAUGGCCUAUAGCGGAAUCCACAAGUUCAUCCAUCAUUAGAAAUGGCAAGCUAUUAUUAGAACAAGUUUGAUUAAUGUUGGAAAAUUCUAUGCAUACCCUCCACUUGCCAUUGUGCUUUUUGACCAGUAUUGGAUUGAAAAUCCACUUCAGAUAGAUAUCUUCUCUGAUGAAUCAAUUUAAAAUCAAUUUUUUCUCUUUUUCCUUUAAGGCUCUGUACCUUUUCGAGCUAAGGGCUAUCAUUUUCUGCAUGUGAGAAAUAAAUUUUGGGUCAAUAUUGAGGUGGUGAAAACUGACCUCGAGGUCAUUACCUACCAUAUCUUCAUGCCUCAAGAAAAUAUAUACAAGUUUUUACGCAAGAAGCUUUUGAGCUUCUGCUUGUUUUCCAAAUUCAACUAUGUUUCCACUUAGAAUGUUUUAUGGGUCUACUUGAAAGCAUUCCAGUUUCUCUAUUGGGAGCCAUUUGAGAAUUGGUCUCCAUGAUUCGAGGAUCUAGUCUAUUAUCCAUGGCCCAUUCUUUAAUGGUCAUCCAUUUUUCAAGGAUCUUUUCUUCUGUAGGGAAGUCUUCCUUUUGUUCAGGGGUCUACCAUUUGCUAGUUGUAUCAAGCAUUUUAGUGUCAAUCAAUACAAUGUUUAUACUUUGAGGUUCAGCAUUUCUCAAAGAAUUGAGAUAGUAUUCUCCUGAUCCCAUAUGAUCAUCUUUAAUAGUAGUGAUGCUAUGUUCCAUAGAAAUUUCAUGUAUAAGUGAUGAAUAUAAGUGAUAGCCCAAAGUUCCUUUAAUAUAGGCCAUCCUAACAUACGGUGAUAGGCUAACAUGUUAUUCGCAAUUAGAAACUCCAUGAAAUGAUGUGCUAUCAAGGGGAACGAUCAUAUUUCCACAGCAAGAGUGAUUUUUUUCCCUUGGAAAUGCUAUCUCCAGUAAAACCAUAUAAAGAGAAGUCAUGGUGGUGAGCUCAUGAUCUAUCAUCCUGUCAUAAGUGGCUCCAAAUAGGAUAUUGAUAGAGCUUCCAUUAUCAACCAACAUAUGUUUCAAACCAUUUCAUGCCAUACGACUAAUGCAUUACAAUGGGGGCAAUGUAGACUUACCGCAUCUUCCAUGUAAAAGUGAUGGGUUGUAUAUUCUUAGCCCCAUGGGGGUGCUAUUAUAUAUAUAUUUCAUCAUAGGAGGCUUUUUUAACUUUCCUUACAUAGUUCUACUUUGCAUUUCGAGAUUCUCCCCCAACAUGUGACCUCGAUAUUAUUAUCUAUCUAUCGAAUGGAGAGCAUUAUCAACAUUUUUCGAGGGGUCUCUUCUUUGCCUUUGGCUACAUGUAGGCAUUUUCCUAUCUUUAUCCCUCUUGUGUCUGAGGGAUUUUUUCCUGGAAGUCACUUCGCCUUAUCUCAUUGAAGUCGUUGAUCAUGUUUAGAUAGGGACGUAUUUUGUUGCCUAUGAUGGCUAUCUUUCAUUCUUGAAUGUGAAUCAAUUUGUUCCGUGUGAUGUGGUAUGAACAUACAAUCAUUUGUGCCAUAGCUAUAAGUUUAGUGGUAAGUACAAUAGGGCCUAUUCCUAGACUCAUUGUUCCUAUCUUUGCCCCUACCCCUUGGGUGAUUUGGUUGUAUUUGAACAUCAAGUCUAACUUCUUCAUACGCCAAAAAAGGUACUAACAGUAGCUAAUACUUGGCCUGAAGUAAGGACGAUGGUAUGCCCAACUUGGGUUCAUUGUUGAUUUACCAUGUAUGAAACUGGGCUUUUUCUUUACCUUUGAGGGGGCAAAAGUCCCAUAGAGGUUUGGUUGCAAUGGUCUAUCAAUUUUUUAUUGACAAUCUUGCUUCUCAUCAUUUCUAACAAGGUAUCGUAGGUGGUAGGAUUCUUGUUUCGCACAUUUCUCCAAAAGUGGGUAUUCAUGUUGAGACCUUAUCUCAAAGUUGAAAGAACCUCUCUAUCAAUGACUUGUUCACAAUAAGUCAUCUCAUCAUUAAAGCGAAUCAAGUAACAUUUUAGGGUUUUGCCUGCCUAUGGCCUUAUAUCCUAUAGACAUUUAAUAGGGGCCUCUCCAUCUUUUUUGGAUUUUCCCCUACAUGGCAGUAUUCUAUCAGUUGAUACUCAUGUUGGCAGCCAUUCAUUUUGACUCUCUUCCACGGAAUGCAAUGGUGUCACUACUUUGACAAUGGCGGUAAAAGGCUCUAUGAAUUUGACACUAGUUCGGAAGACCUCUUCUUUAGGGGUCUCCCAUUUGUCCUUGCGAGGGAUCCAUAAUGGCUGGAACUCAUAGUAUACUAACUUGGAUAUUAUACAAUACUUUAAAUAGCACUUCUACUUGUUCUUUCCUCAAGAACAAAAACCUUUUUUCAAGGAAAAAUUAUGAUGUUUUUUCUAAUACUUCUACUACAAGGAUAUUUGUGAUUGCAGUAUGGUUUUCCACAAAUGGUACCAAUCUUAACUUCAAAUUUUGUACCCCAAAGUGGCCAAUGGAUCCUAAGGGCUUCCAUGUCCACUUAAGCCUAGUUCUUACAUACUUGGACAAAUCGUUAGUCACAUGUGGCUUCUCGCGGUGGUGGUGGAGCUAGAUUGCACACUUUUACGGUCAAGUCAGUUGUAAUAAUAAGUAUAUAAGUGUGGGAGGUACUUUAGCCCGAGCCUUUAAUGCAAAAAUAGGGUCGACUUUGGAGAGAAUACAUGAUAAUAACAGUAAGGAUAAAAAAGUUAUCGCUUCAGAGUUUAAACUUGCAUUACCUUUAGAAUGACACAUUAUGCAAGCUUUUAUAGUAGAAUGGGAUAGAUAUCAACCGUAAGAUGAAAGUAUACAUGGCCUAAUACACACGUCUGAGGCCUCUUGUCAAAGACAUCAAUCAAUCAUAAGCCUUUAAUGCUAAUACCAUUUUGUAGCCCAUAAAUCUGGUAUAGGGCUUACACUUAACCAGAUUGACUGGAUAGAGAUAUGGUAAUAGUGAAUUUUCGCAUCAAUCACUAUUAAGUAUUGCAUAGAAAAUCUUCUGCUAGGCCCAUUGCUUCUUCACCCCGUCAUGAAGGUUCGAUUCUUUAUAUGGGGUCGAUUCAGUUAAAUAGGUUCAGCUUCUUCAUGGGGAUUUGGCCAAACUUCCUCUUGGGUAGAGUGAUACCAAGCACUUGCCUGCAGCUCCUGCCGCCCGCCAAGCAGGCGGAGCUCUCGUUAUCUUGACUCCUGUCAUGUAAGAUCCCUUAAAGCCUUAUCAGAUGAGGUAUAACAAAAUUCAUUGAAUGUCUAAGAUCAAAUAGUACAUAAAUAUUAUCUUGUAAUCGAUAACGAAACAAAAGAUAAGUGAAAAUAAAUAUUAGUGGUUGAGAUUCAAAUAAAAUCUAUUUAACAGUUUAGAUCGAAUAGUACAUAUAUCGUAUUAUGUAAAGGAUAAUGAGGCAAAAGAUAAAGUGAAAGUGAAUGUGUGGUUGAGAUUCGGAUG